UACAGAGGAUGCAAGCGUUAUCCGGAAUGAUUGGGCGUAAAGCGUCUGUAGGUGGCUUUUUAAGUCCGCCGUCAAAUCCCAGGGCUCAACUCUGGACAGGCGGUGGAAACUACCAAGCUGGAGUACGGUAGGGGCAGAGGGAAUUUCCGGUGGAGCGGUGGAAUGCGUAGAUAUCGGAAGGAACACCGGUGGCGAAAGCGGCGCGCUGGAUCUCUUCUGACGCUGAGGCGCGAAAGCCAGGGGAGCAAACGGG
RNAcentral lists this ribosomal RNA (253 nucleotides) under uncultured bacterium. Its description in RNAcentral is "partial 16S ribosomal RNA". It matches the Rfam family "Bacterial small subunit ribosomal RNA", at positions 524 to 776 of the family's 1533-position model. The record is from RNAcentral.